AUGGCUCAGUGAGGCCUUCGGACUGGCCUAGGGAGGUCGGCAACGACCACCCAGGGCCGGAAAGUUGGUCAAACUCGGUCAUUUAGAGGAAGUAAAAGUCGUAACAAGGUCUCCGUAGGUGAACCUGCGGAGGGAUCAUU
Molecule: ribosomal RNA, 140 nt
Filed under: Mycosphaerella buckinghamiae
Lineage: Eukaryota; Fungi; Ascomycota; Dothideomycetes; Mycosphaerellales; Mycosphaerellaceae
Also listed under: 1 other name
Description: partial 18S ribosomal RNA
Rfam family: Eukaryotic small subunit ribosomal RNA
Source: RNAcentral